ACUGCAAGUCGAGCGAAUGGAUUAAGAGCUUGCUCUUAUGAAGUUAGCGGCGGACGGGUGAGUAACACGUGGGUAACCUGCCCAUAAGACUGGGAUAACUCCGGGAAACCGGGGCUAAUACCGGAUAACAUUUUGAACUGCAUGGUUCGAAAUUGAAAGGCGGCUUCGGCUGUCACUUAUGGAUGGACCCGCGUCGCAUUAGCUAGUUGGUGAGGUAACGGCUCACCAAGGCAACGAUGCGUAGCCGACCUGAGAGGGUGAUCGGCCACACUGGGACUGAGACACGGCCCAGACUCCUACGGGAGGCAGCAGUAGGGAAUCUUCCGCAAUGGACGAAAGUCUGACGGAGCAACGCCGCGUGAGUGAUGAAGGCUUUCGGGUCGUAAAACUCUGUUGUUAGGGAAGAACAAGUGCUAGUUGAAUAAGCUGGCACCUUGACGGUACCUAACC
Molecule: ribosomal RNA, 450 nt
Filed under: Bacillus cereus
Lineage: Bacteria; Bacillati; Bacillota; Bacilli; Caryophanales; Bacillaceae
Description: bacterial SSU rRNA
Rfam family: Bacterial small subunit ribosomal RNA
Source: RNAcentral